GGAAAAAAAUCUAAAGAAUAAACCACAGAAAAAAUAUUUUAAAUCUUCAUUUGAUAUCGUGAUGCGAGACUUCGAAACAAACCAUGAAAAAGAUAAAACAAAAUAUUUUUGGAUUUUAACUUGAUUACCUACGGGAGAAACCCUGAAAUAGACCAAAGAUAAAAUAUGUUUUUUUUUCUGUGUAAAAUAUCCUAACAUUCUAGUAGAAAUAAAAAGAAUUUUUUUUAUUUUUGC
This 234-nucleotide long non-coding RNA is filed under the name Nicotiana benthamiana. RNAcentral's name for it is "long non-coding RNA (NBEN_LNC027436)". Lineage: Eukaryota; Viridiplantae; Streptophyta; Magnoliopsida; Solanales; Solanaceae. The record is from RNAcentral.